Molecule: ribosomal RNA, 429 nt
Filed under: Chloroflexota bacterium
Lineage: Bacteria; Bacillati; Chloroflexota
Description: Chloroflexi bacterium partial 16S ribosomal RNA
Rfam family: Bacterial small subunit ribosomal RNA
Source: RNAcentral
UGGGGAAUAUUGCACAAUGGGCGCAAGCCUGAUGCAGCCAUGCCGCGUGUAUGAAGAAGGCCUUCGGGUUGUAAAGUACUUUCAGUCGGGAGGAAGGUGUCAAGGUUAAUAACCUUGGCAAUUGACGUUACCGACAGAAGAAGCACCGGCUAACUCCGUGCCAGCAGCCGCGGUAAUACGGAGGGUGCAAGCGUUAAUCGGAAUUACUGGGCGUAAAGCGCACGCAGGCGGUUGAUUGAGUCAGAUGUGAAAUCCCCGGGCUUAACCCGGGAAUUGCAUCUGAUACUGGUCAGCUAGAGUCUUGUAGAGGGGGGUAGAAUUCCAUGUGUAGCGGUGAAAUGCGUAGAGAUGUGGAGGAAUAUCGGUGGCGAAGGCGGCCCCCUGGACAAAGACUGACGCUCAGGUGCGAAAGCGUGGGGAGCAAACAGG